This 194-nucleotide ribosomal RNA is filed under the name uncultured bacterium. Its description in RNAcentral is "partial 16S ribosomal RNA". It matches the Rfam family "Bacterial small subunit ribosomal RNA", at positions 1 to 220 of the family's 1533-position model. The record is from RNAcentral.
UAGAGUUUGAUCAUGGCUCAGAGCGAACGCUGGCGGCAGGCUUAACACAUGCAAGUCGAGCGCCGUAGCAAUACGGAGCGGCAGACGGGUGAGUAACGCGUGGGAACGUACCUUUUGGUUCGGAACAACCCAGGGAAACUUGUGCUAAUACCGAAUAAGCCCUUACGGGGAAAGAUUCAUCCAAAACCGGCCCG